Molecule: unclassified non-coding RNA, 1521 nt
Filed under: Streptococcus suis
Lineage: Bacteria; Bacillati; Bacillota; Bacilli; Lactobacillales; Streptococcaceae
Description: bacterial SSU rRNA
Rfam family: Bacterial small subunit ribosomal RNA (bases 1-878)
Source: RNAcentral
GGAGAGUGGAAUUCCAUGUGUAGCGGUGAAAUGCGUAGAUAUAUGGAGGAACACCGGUGGCGAAAGCGGCUCUCUGGUCUGUAACUGACGCUGAGGCUCGAAAGCGUGGGGAGCGAACAGGAUUAGAUACCCUGGUAGUCCACGCCGUAAACGAUGAGUGCUAGGUGUUGGGUCCUUUCCGGGACUCAGUGCCGCAGCUAACGCAUUAAGCACUCCGCCUGGGGAGUACGACCGCAAGGUUGAAACUCAAAGGAAUUGACGGGGGCCCGCACAAGCGGUGGAGCAUGUGGUUUAAUUCGAAGCAACGCGAAGAACCUUACCAGGUCUUGACAUCCCGAUGACCGCCCUAGAGAUAGGGUUUCUCUUCGGAGCAUCGGUGACAGGUGGUGCAUGGUUGUCGUCAGCUCGUGUCGUGAGAUGUUGGGUUAAGUCCCGCAACGAGCGCAACCCCUAUUGUUAGUUGCCAUCAUUCAGUUGGGCACUCUAGCGAGACUGCCGGUAAUAAACCGGAGGAAGGUGGGGAUGACGUCAAAUCAUCAUGCCCCUUAUGACCUGGGCUACACACGUGCUACAAUGGCUGGUACAACGAGUCGCAAGUCGGUGACGGCAAGCUAAUCUCUUAAAGCCAGUCUCAGUUCGGAUUGUAGGCUGCAACUCGCCUACAUGAAGUCGGAAUCGCUAGUAAUCGCGGAUCAGCACGCCGCGGUGAAUACGUUCCCGGGCCUUGUACACACCGCCCGUCACACCACGAGAGUUUGUAACACCCGAAGUCGGUGAGGUAACCUUUUAGGAGCCAGCCGCCUAAGGUGGGAUAGAUGAUUGGGGUGAAGUCGUAACAAGGUAGCCGUAUCGGAAGGUGCGGCUGGAUCACCUCCUUUCUAAGGAAAUGGAACCUGUACGUCAGUCUUCUUUAAUUUUGAGAGGUCUUGUGGGGCCUUAGCUCAGCUGGGAGAGCGCCUGCUUUGCACGCAGGAGGUCAGCGGUUCGAUCCCGCUAGGCUCCAUUAGGAUAGAAAUCCUACUAAACUGAAUAACAGUGAAGUUGAAUUCACGACUAACUUCUUAGGAAAAUAGAUAAUCUUCCUUGUGUGCAAGACACACAAUGUCAGAUUCCUAAUUUUCUACAGAAGUUUCGCAGAAGCGACCGUCGUUCAUAUCCUAAACUUGUCCAUUGAAAAUUGAAUAUCUAUCAAACAUUCCUAAACGUAUGUAAAAGUACGUAUAGAAAUAGUAACAAGAAAAUAAACCGAAAACGCUGUGAAUAUUUAAUGAGUUUUCUAAUUUUUGAAAAAAUUAGGUUAAAACAAGUUACGAAGACGUUAAGGAAAACGUAUGAUUUUAGGAAAUCAUCGCAGUAGUCUAAGGACUACAAGAGGAUUUGUCUAAAUCACUAGUUUUCUAGUCUGAGUAUGAUUAUAAGGUUAAGUUAAUAAGGGCGCACGGUGGAUGCCUUGGCACUAGAAGCCGAUGAAGGACGUGACUAACGACGAAAUGCCUUGGGGAGCUGUAAGUAAGCAAUGAU